CCUACGGGAGGCUGCAGUGGGGAAUAUUGGGCAAUGGAGGAAACUCUGACCCAGCAACGCCGCGUGAAUGAUGAAGGUCUUCGGAUUGUAAAGUUCUUUUCUAAGGGAAGAAGAAAGUGACGGUACCUUAGGAAUAAGCCUCGGCUAACUACGUGCCAGCAGCCGCGGUAAUACGUAGGAGGCAAGCGUUAUCCGGAAUGACUGGGCUUAAAGGGUGCGUAGGUGGUUAAGCAAGUUAGUAGCGUAAUUCCGGGGCUCAACUUCGGCACUACUACUAAAACUGUUGGACGUGAGUGCAGGAGGGGCAACUGGAAUGUCUAGUGUAGCGGUGGAAUGCGUAGAUAUUAGGAAGAACACCGAUGGCGAAGGCGAGUUGCUGGACUGUAACUGACACUGAGGCACGAAAGCGUGGGGAGCAAACAGGAUUAGAUACCCUUGUAGUC
RNAcentral lists this ribosomal RNA (443 nucleotides) under uncultured bacterium. RNAcentral describes it as "partial 16S ribosomal RNA". It matches the Rfam family "Bacterial small subunit ribosomal RNA", at positions 338 to 795 of the family's 1533-position model. The record is from RNAcentral.